AGUUGCAAAUGAUCAGAGACGGGUGAACUGCAGGCAGCCUGUGUUGCUGCCUGGAAGUAGAUUUCCAUCUUUCAGACACUAGUUCCAAUGGGCCGGGUGUUCUGGAAGGGGGUGGCAGUGGGGAGGAGGAUGCUGUGAGCAGAGUUCUUGAAGCUCCACUCCUCUGGGGAAGCCGAGCUGUGUGGGAGCCUUCUUACUGUGCCGGGAGCGUGUGAAUUGGAAAGGAUCCUGAGAACUGGCUAGUCCCAGUUCCUCUCCGGAAAAGCAGUGGCUCUCGCUUCAGAGAUGCGCCCAGCUUUCGCCUGCAUCACACUGCAAUUCUACAAAGAAAUUAAAGGAUGUUCUUGAAGAAUUCCAUGGUAAUGGUGUGCUUGCAAAGUAUAAUCCUGAAGGGAAACAAGACAUUCUUAACCAAACAAUAGAUUUUGAAGGUUUCAAACUAUUCAUGAAGACAUUCCUGGAAGCCGAGCUU
This 472-nucleotide small RNA is filed under the name Pan troglodytes (chimpanzee). RNAcentral's name for it is "processed transcript". The record is from RNAcentral. Lineage: Eukaryota; Metazoa; Chordata; Mammalia; Primates; Hominidae.